RNAcentral lists this ribosomal RNA (446 nucleotides) under uncultured bacterium. RNAcentral describes it as "partial 16S ribosomal RNA". It matches the Rfam family "Bacterial small subunit ribosomal RNA", at positions 338 to 795 of the family's 1533-position model. The record is from RNAcentral.
CCUACGGAUGGCAGCAGUCGAGAAUCAUUCACAAUGGGGGAAACCCUGAUGGUGCGACGCCGCGUGGGGGAAUGAAGGUCUUCGGAUUGUAAACCCCUGCCAUGUGGGAGCAAAUUAAAAAGAUAGUACCACAAGAGGAAGAGACGGCUAACUCUGUGCCAGCAGCCGCGGUAAUACAGAGGUCUCAAGCGUUGUUCGGAAUCACUGGGCGUAAAGCGUGCGUAGGCUGUUUCGUAAGUCGUGUGUGAAAGGCGCGGGCUCAACCCGCGGACGGCACAUGAUACUGCGAGACUAGAGUAAUGGAGGGGGAACCGGAAUUCUCGGUGUAGCAGUGAACUGCGUAGAUAUCGAGAGGAACACUCGUGGCGAAGGCGGGUUCCUGGACAUUAACUGACGCUGAGGCACGAAGGCCAGGGGAGCGAAAGGGAUUAGAUACCCGAGUAGUC